This 337-nucleotide unclassified non-coding RNA is filed under the name soil metagenome. Its description in RNAcentral is "partial contains 5.8S ribosomal RNA, internal transcribed spacer 2, and large subunit ribosomal RNA". The stretch from base 1 to 120 matches the Rfam family "5.8S ribosomal RNA", at positions 35 to 154 of the family's 154-position model. The record is from RNAcentral.
GAUGAAGAACGCAGUGAAAUGCGAUAAGUAAUGUGAAUUGCAGAAUUCAGUGAAUCAUCGAGUCUUUGAACGCACAUUGCGCCCGCCAGUAUUCUGGCGGGCAUGCCUGUUCGAGCGUCAUUUCAACCAUCAAGCCCCCCGGCUUGUGUUGGGGACCUGCGGCUGCCGCAGGCCCUGAAAAGCAGUGGCGGGCUCGCUGUCACACCGAGCGUAGUAGAUCUCAUCUCGCUCAGGGCGUGCUGCGGGUUCCGGCCGUUAAACCACCUUCAUAACCCAAGGUUGACCUCGGAUCAGGUAGGAAGACCCGCUGAACUUAAGCAUAUCAAUAAGCGGAGGA